GUGAAAAGAAUUUCCUGGCCUGGGGAAAGAAGGAAGAGAAAGAGAUCUGUAGGUCCUGGGAGCAGAGAGGACCUCUAUGCUCCUUUCGGCAAUGCCCUGAAUAUGAUCAGUAAUAGUAACAACAAUGACAAUAGCAACAGCAAUGAUAAUGAGAGCAGCUGACUGCUACUGAACACUGACUAUAUGAAAAUCUGAAGCUUAGGAAAUGGAAGAACAUCUGCCGGAGGUCACACAGAUAUGGCACGUUCAUGAUGUGAAUCCAAGUGAUGCCGAAGUCAGCCUUCUUAAUCAUUCACAAUUCUGCCCCUCUUCAGUGAGGCCUCCAAGACCAGCUGCCUGGGGAACUCAGGCAGAGAAAGCUAUCUGCAGCCAGAUGUGGGUCCUUCUAGUUGUGGCAUGUGGGAUGCCACCUCAGCAUGGCUUGAUGAGUGGUACCAUGUCUGCGCCCAGGAUCCGAACCGGUGAAACCCUGGGCCACCGAAGCAGAGCGCGCGGACCCAACCACUCAGCCACGGGGCCGGCCCCCACAAACCUUGAUUUUAAAGUCUCAGUUCCUUUAAAAUUUUGGACAUGAACCCACCUGAACAACAACUACCAAAACUCCUCCAACUGGCUUCCAUUGCUGAACAGAUAC
This 634-nucleotide long non-coding RNA is filed under the name Equus asinus (donkey). RNAcentral describes it as "lncRNA (ENSEASG00005029362.1)". The record is from RNAcentral. Lineage: Eukaryota; Metazoa; Chordata; Mammalia; Perissodactyla; Equidae.